CGAAAAUAUAACGGGGCUAAGAUAACCACCGAAGCUUUAGGUUCGGAUAACAGAAAACGGAAAACGGAAAACGGAGGAUAGAGAGUGAAAUAUCAAGAUGGUGUAGAGAAUUUAUUUGUAUACCAAAUUUCGUAUAAAUUGAUGAUAGAAAUUCAUAAAGAGAGUUUAGAGUUUCCAAAGAUUGAACAAUAUGGUGGUAUUGCAGAUCAAUUAAGAAGAUCAAGCAAAUCAAUUACUGCAAAUAUAGUAGAAGGAUUUGGAAAGCAACAUUUCUUUAAAGGUGAAUUUCAGAGAAUGUUGGUUUACUCCAUAGGAAGUUGUGACGAAACAAUUCUUUGGAUAAAAACAGCAAGAGAUUUGGGAUAUAUGGAUAAGAUAACAUCAGAUAGAUAUUUAAAUGAGUAUCAAAUACUUGUUAAAAAACUUUCUACAUUCACAAAAAAUAUGAAACGAUAGAUAAACUAUCUUCCGUUUUCCGUUUUUCUGUUUUCAGCUAUCCGAUCGGUAGGAGAGCGUUCUAUUCAGCAUUGAAGCUGUACCGGUAAGGAGCAGUGGAGCGGAUAGAAGUGAGCAUGCAGGCAUGAGUAGCGAUAAUUAAAGUGAGAAUCUUUAACGCCGAAAACCCAAGGUUUCCUACGCGAUGCUCGUCAUCGUAGGGUUAGUCGGGUCCUAAGACAAGUCCGAAAGGGGUAGUCGAUGGCAAAUAGGUUAAUAUUCCUAUACUUAUUAUAGAGCGUGAUGUGGGGACGCAUAGAGUUAGCCAAGCUCACUGAUGGAAUAGUGGGUCGAAGGAUGUAGGUUGUUAAGUAGGCAAAUCCGCUUAACAUUAAACCGAGAUCUUACAGGCAGUUCAAAACCUUCGGGUAGCGAACUGAAUUGGUGAUACUGUCGUGCCAAGAAAAGCCACUAAGCAUAUCUAUAAUAACCCGUACCGCAAACCGACACAGGUAGGUGGGAUGAGUAUUCUAAGGCGCGUGGAAGAACCCCCUUUAAGGAACUCUGCAAAUUAGCACCGUAACUUCGGAAGAAGGUGUGCCUACUUUGGUAUAUGAAUUUACUUCAAAAAGCUAAAGAGGUUGCAACAAAGAGUCCCUCCCGACUGUUUACCAAAAACACAGCACUAUGCUAACAAGUAAUUGGAUGUAUAUGGUGUGACGCCUGCCCGGUGCUCGAAGGUUAAUUGAUGGGGUUAGCCGUAAGGCGAAGCUCUUGAUCGAAGCCCGAGUAAACGGCGGCCGUAACUAUAACGGUCCUAAGGUAGCGAAAUUCCUUGUCGGUUAAAUACCGACCUGCAUGAAUGGCGUAACGAGAUGGGAGCUGUCUCAACCAGGGAUCCAGUGAAAUUGUAGUGGAGGUGAAAAUUCCUCCUACCCGCGGAAAGACGGAAAGACCCCGUGCACCUUUACUAUAGCUUGGCACUGCUAUUGGGAUAUUCAUGUGCAGGAUAGGUGGGAGACUUUGAUCAUAGGACGCUAGUAAUAUGUGAGUCACCCUUGAGAUACCACCCUUGAAUAUUCUGAUAGCUAACUUUUAGCAGUUAUCCUGCUAGAGGACAAUGCCUGGUGGGUAGUUUGACUGGGGCGGUCGCCUCCUAAAGAGUAACGGAGGCUUACAAAGGUUGGUUCAAACCGGAUGGAAAUCGGUUGUUGAGUAUAAUGGCAUAAACCAGCCUGACUGUAAGACGUACAUGUCAAGCAGAGACGAAAGUCGGUCAUAGUGAUCCGGUGGUCCCGUAUGGAAGGGCCAUCGCUCAAAGGAUAAAAGGUACGCCGGGGAUAACAGGCUGAUCU
This 1790-nucleotide ribosomal RNA is filed under the name metagenome. Its description in RNAcentral is "bacterial LSU rRNA". It matches the Rfam family "Bacterial large subunit ribosomal RNA", at positions 1165 to 2488 of the family's 2925-position model. The record is from RNAcentral.